CAAUACUAGACUCCUGCCACUCAGCCAUGGCUGUGGUUACUAACCAGUGGGACACUCUUGAUCUUGUAGGAUACUUUUGCUAGGGAGGUCCAACUUUUGCUCUGAAGAUGGCUUUGCAGAAAAAGCACCUUGGUGACUGAAUUGGCAUGAGGCUUCCAACCCAAGAGAAUCACCUAGGAGACAAACCUCCUGACAUGUUGCUCAAGAAGUUGCUACACAGGGUUAACUGAGAGAGGAAGACCCACCCUAGACAUGGCUGUCACCAUUCCAUGGGCUGAGGUCCUAGACAGAAUGAAAAGCCAAAAGAGAACCGAGCAGUGGCACUCAUCUGGCCCUGCAUCGUGAAUACAGAAGCAAUGUGACCAGACUCCUGUUGCCAUUACAUCCCAGCCGCGAUGAACCACAUCCUCAAACUGUGAGCCAAGAUAAACCCUCCUUACUUAAGCUGUUUUGUCAUAUGAGGAAAAAAGCGAUCAAUACA
This is a long non-coding RNA of Mesocricetus auratus (golden hamster), 481 nucleotides long. RefSeq lists it as uncharacterized. Lineage: Eukaryota; Metazoa; Chordata; Mammalia; Rodentia; Cricetidae. The record is from RefSeq and is a predicted model, not a curated record. The transcript is spliced from 3 exons.